AGAGAGCUGACAGAGUUGGUCGAAUGUACCGGUUUUGAAAACCGGCGAGGGUUAUACCUCCAGCGGUUCGAAUCCGCUGCUCUCUGCCA
RNAcentral lists this transfer RNA (89 nucleotides) under Arcobacter sp. RNAcentral's name for it is "tRNA-Ser". It matches the Rfam family "tRNA". From Rfam's summary of the family: Transfer RNA (tRNA) molecules are approximately 80 nucleotides in length. Their secondary structure includes four short double-helical elements and three loops (D, anti-codon, and T loops). The record is from RNAcentral. Lineage: Bacteria; Pseudomonadati; Campylobacterota; Epsilonproteobacteria; Campylobacterales; Arcobacteraceae. RNAcentral also lists the same sequence under 1 other name.